RNAcentral lists this ribosomal RNA (497 nucleotides) under uncultured bacterium. RNAcentral describes it as "partial 16S ribosomal RNA". It matches the Rfam family "Bacterial small subunit ribosomal RNA", at positions 28 to 507 of the family's 1533-position model. The record is from RNAcentral.
GAUGAACGCUGGCGGCGUGCCUAAUACAUGCAAGUCGAGCGAACAGACGAGGAGCUUGCUCCUCUGACGUUAGCGGCGGACGGGUGAGUAACACGUGGAUAACCUACCUAUAAGACUGGGAUAACUUCGGGAAACCGGAGCUAAUACCGGAUAAUAUAUUGAACCGCAUGGUUCAAUAGUGAAAGACGGUUUUGCUGUCACUUAUAGAUGGAUCCGCGCUGCAUUAGCUAGUUGGUAAGGUAACGGCUUACCAAGGCAACGAUGCGUAGCCGACCUGAGAGGGUGAUCGGCCACACUGGAACUGAGACACGGUCCAGACUCCUACGGGAGGCAGCAGUAGGGAAUCUUCCGCAAUGGGCGAAAGCCUGACGGAGCAACGCCGCGUGAGUGAUGAAGGUCUUCGGAUCGUAAAACUCUGUUAUUAGGGAAGAACAAAUGUGUAAGUAACUGUGCACGUCUUGACGGUACCUAAUCAGAAAGCCACGGCUAACUACGUG